CGGAACCAAGAGAUCCGUUGUUGAAAGUUUUAACGAUUUUUCUUAUAUGAAAACUCAGACUGCAAACUUCAGACAGUGUUCAAUGUUGGAGUCUCCGGCGGGCGCGGGCCCGGGGGGCUAGAGAGCCCCCCCGGCGGCCAUGAAGGCGGGCCCGCCGAAGCAACAGGGUACAAGAGACACGGAUGGGAGGUUGGACCCAGAGGGCCCGCACUCGGUAAUGAUCCUU
RNAcentral lists this unclassified non-coding RNA (226 nucleotides) under uncultured Aspergillus. Its description in RNAcentral is "sequence contains ITS1". The record is from RNAcentral. Lineage: Eukaryota; Fungi; Ascomycota; Eurotiomycetes; Eurotiales; Aspergillaceae.